AGCAGCCGCGGUAAUUCCAGCUCCAAUAGCGUAUAUUAAAGUUGUUGCAGUUAAAAAGCUCGUAGUUGAACUUCAGGCCUGUCCAGAUGGUCCGCCUUAAUUGGUGUGUACUGUCCUUGGGUGGGUCCUACCUUCUGGCGAAGCGGCAUGGCCUUAAUUGGUUGUGUCGGGGAACCAGGACUUUUACUGUGAAAAAAUUAGAGUGUUCAAAGCAGGCAUAAUAUGCUCGAAUACAUUAGCAUGGAAUAAUGGAAUAGGACGAUGGUUCUAUUUUGUUGGUUCUAGGACCGUUGUAAUGAUUAAUAGGGAUAGUUGGGGGCAUUAGUAUUCAAUUGUCAGAGGUGAAAUUCUUGGAUUUAUUGAAGACUAACUACUGCGAAAGCAUUUGCCAAGGAUGUUUUCAUUAAUCAAGAACGAAAGUUAGGGGAUCGAAGACGAUCAGAUACCGUCGUAGUCUUAACCAUAAACUAUGCCGACUAGGAAUCGGGCGAUGUUGACAAAAUGACUCGCUCGGCACCUCAUG
Molecule: ribosomal RNA, 523 nt
Filed under: uncultured Paraglomeraceae
Lineage: Eukaryota; Fungi; Glomeromycota; Glomeromycetes; Paraglomerales
Description: SSU rRNA
Rfam family: Eukaryotic small subunit ribosomal RNA
Source: RNAcentral